RNAcentral lists this long non-coding RNA (845 nucleotides) under Astyanax mexicanus (Mexican tetra). RNAcentral's name for it is "lncRNA (ENSAMXG00005005975.1)". Lineage: Eukaryota; Metazoa; Chordata; Actinopteri; Characiformes; Acestrorhamphidae. The record is from RNAcentral.
AUAAUCUGAUUGCUGCCUUUUUCCUCUGUAACUGUUCUUUUCUGUUUUUUGAUUGCGUUACACUGUUGCACUGCAUUACCAGCCAGUGCUGGACAUUAAACUCAUGUUACAUUAAUGUGGCGCUAAAAUUACGCUAACAUUGUACUAAUGUUAUGCUAGCGUUAUUUUAACAUUUCAUAUUUAAACACAUUGUACUGCGCGAGUUUCUGAAGCUUCGGAACUCUUCGCCAUCGCCAUGACAAUAUGGCCGUAGCUUCAGCUAGCGUUCCGUGGUGACAUCAUCAGCCCACAGUAUCUAAGGACUCGUCACUCAGUAUUCAAAUCAGAGAGUGUGACUCUUCUUCUAUAGACACACAUCAGAUCUAUUUCUGAGAACUAAAGAUGGAUUUUGGAAAAGAGGAGAAGUUUCGUCUCCCAGAAAUUGUGCCCUGGGUCCACGGACUUCCUCUAAUGAGGCACAAGACUAAAGCUCCACAUUGGUCCCUGGGGCAUCUACACAUGCCCAGUCCACCACCAGCAAAACCUGCUGUCAAAAACACCGGCAGCAGGUUUCCUCCAAUCAAAGGGCUGGAGCCAAAAUGGAGCGGAGCUAUGGAGAACUCCUCCUUUAGAGAAGAGUUUACUUCAAGGCCCCUCCAUUUCCAGCCAACUCCUCCACCUGAGCCUCUGCCUUUCACUGCUACCCAACCAGUGGUGGUAAAUAAACCAACGGCCUACAAUUCACCAGGUAGCAGGAUACCAAGUCUGGACAGGCGGAGGAAGCUGAGGCCAGUCCAAGCUGUGGUGCAGCCCAUUAAGAACAUGGCUACCCCCAGUGUGAUAAAGGACGAACCAGCCCAGGUGGA